This 253-nucleotide ribosomal RNA is filed under the name uncultured bacterium. RNAcentral's name for it is "partial 16S ribosomal RNA". It matches the Rfam family "Bacterial small subunit ribosomal RNA", at positions 524 to 776 of the family's 1533-position model. The record is from RNAcentral.
UACGUAGGGCGCAAGCGUUAUCCGGAAUUAUUGGGCGUAAAGGGCUCGUAGGCGGUCUGUCGCGUCGAAAGUGAAAACCCAGGGCUUAACCCUGGGCCUGCUUCCGAUACGGGCAGACUAGAGGUAUGCAGGGGAGAACGGAAUUCCUGGUGUAGCGGUGAAAUGCGCAGAUAUCAGGAGGAACACCGGUGGCGAAGGCGGUUCUCUGGGAAUGUCCUGACGCUGAGGAGCGAAAGUGUGGGGAGCGAACAGG